UGCAUUCACUACUGUAAGUCGCUCUGGAUAAGAGCGUCUGCUAAAUGACAAGAA
Non-coding RNA from Salmo salar (Atlantic salmon), 54 nucleotides. NCBI's taxonomy places the organism in Eukaryota, Metazoa, Chordata, Actinopteri, Salmoniformes, Salmonidae. The record is from Rfam.